UCACUCUGGUUUCCCUUCAAUCCACCACGCACAAAUCUUUCGCCUUUUACUAAAGAUUUCCGUGGAGGGGAACAAUCAAUGAGUCUAUAAACAAUUUUUCUCUGCCCUGCCUUGUGCAGGGCU
Molecule: non-coding RNA, 123 nt
Organism: Branchiostoma floridae (Florida lancelet)
Lineage: Eukaryota; Metazoa; Chordata; Leptocardii; Amphioxiformes; Branchiostomatidae
Source: Rfam